CCUUCUCCUCCAUUCCGGCCCGGUUCCAAUCCGGAUCGACGCGGAGAGGGAGGGCGACGGGGCGCGGCUGGCGGCGCGCUCGCCGACGAUGGUGCACGGAGAGGGGAGGGCGGGGCUGGCGGCGCAUGAAGGUUCGCGGGCGACGGCGAAGCGGCACAACGGCACACUGGCGGCAAGCAUCUCACCAGUGCGAAUGGUCGGGAGGGAGGCGGCAGCACUGCUCCUGACGACCGCGGCGUGCCAUGCCCCCGCGCGCUUCAUGCUCGUGCUCUGCUGGCUGAAUUCUUGAUUGGGUCGGCAGGUUUGCGCUAAUCUGAUCCACUCAGAUCGGUCGCCAAAUCAAGCACUCCUACUCGUAUCUCAAUUUGUGGCCGGCUUGACAUAAUCUGGAACCAAAUCAAGCUAGCUAGUUGUAUAUCAUCUCUCGUGCAUCUUUCUUCUCGACCUAUAUAUUGCAAAAUGUUGAUGUCCGUUUUUGCAUUAUUGCACAUCCAAGCUCUCCGCCACCUUCCUCCACCUUCUCGCCGGUAAGGCACUGCCCUCCUCUUCAUUCCCCUGUUCUGUUGAUUUAGAUCUAGUCUUGCUCGAUCUUGUGUGGUGUUCUUGGAUCCCAUUGUUGCUAAUUGCCAGGAUGCCCAGACGGAGCUGAGGGCGCACAUGUGGCGGCGGUACUCACCGAUGGAGAGGAAGCACCGCGCUGGAAUUCGCCGAUGGAGGAGUGCAGGAAUUCGCUACUGAUUCAAUGGCUGAAAUUCUUUUUUUUUUCCUUCGUCUCUUGUCAGAAUGUCAGUUCACGCGAUGUUCUACUAGUAUUUCAUUGUGUUUUUUUUUUAGUUUGGAGCUCAAUCUAUUCAAGAAGUUCAAGCUCCGGAGUUCUUGUGUCGUGGCUUGGUAAUCUUGCAGGUGCCUUGGUAAAGGAUGAGAUGAGGUGCUAAUAUGUGAAAAUAGGCAUUGGGUUUAUCCGACAGUAGUUCGAUCCUUGCUUGGGCUUGAUAUUAGGCAUUGGGUGAUAGUACUACUGAGUCAAGGACUGGCGUGCUUCCAGUUCCUGCUGUCUACUCUAAACUAUCCAUCAAUUGUGAGUGACAGACUUGGAUACAAACAUGUGAUACUGACUGCUAUGUUUACGAAUCAUCAAAAGACACUGUGUGAUGAGGUUAUUCAAUUAGGAAGUGGCAGCAUGUUCCCCUGUUU
This is a long non-coding RNA of Panicum virgatum (switchgrass), 1194 nucleotides long. RefSeq lists it as uncharacterized. NCBI's taxonomy places the organism in Eukaryota, Viridiplantae, Streptophyta, Magnoliopsida, Poales, Poaceae. The record is from RefSeq and is a predicted model, not a curated record. The transcript is spliced from 2 exons.